UGGGGGAUUUUGCGCAAUGGGGGAAACCCUGACGCAGCGACGCCGUGUGAGUGAUGAAGGCUUUCGGGUCGUAAAGCUCUGUCAGGUGGGAAGAAAUAUCUCGAUACGAAUAGUAUCGGGGUUUGACGGUACCACCAAAGGAAGCACCGGCUAACUCCGUGCCAGCAGCCGCGGUAAUACGGAGGGUGCAAGCGUUGUUCGGAAUUAUUGGGCGUAAAGAGCGUGUAGGCGGUUGAACAAGUCAGAUGUGAAAUCCCUCGGCUCAACCGAGGAAGUGCAUUUGAAACUGUUCAGCUUGAGUACGGGAGAGGAGAGCGGAAUUCCCGGUGUAGAGGUGAAAUUCGUAGAUAUCGGGAGGAACACCGGUGGCGAAGGCGGUUCUCUGGCCCGAUACUGACGCUGAGACGCGAAAGCGUGGGGAGCAAACA
RNAcentral lists this ribosomal RNA (428 nucleotides) under uncultured bacterium. RNAcentral describes it as "bacterial SSU rRNA". It matches the Rfam family "Bacterial small subunit ribosomal RNA", at positions 355 to 774 of the family's 1533-position model. The record is from RNAcentral.